Long non-coding RNA from Sebastes umbrosus (honeycomb rockfish), 109 nucleotides. RefSeq lists it as uncharacterized. NCBI's taxonomy places the organism in Eukaryota, Metazoa, Chordata, Actinopteri, Perciformes, Sebastidae. The record is from RefSeq and is a predicted model, not a curated record. The transcript has 3 exons.
UCUGAAAUGACCUUUUAGUUUGGUUAUGGCUAGAAAGGAUCCGUCUUGUGUAAAACUAUCGCGAGAGUUUGUGCUCAUGUAUUUACAUUCUGCAGGCAUCCUGUAUCUC